This 228-nucleotide unclassified non-coding RNA is filed under the name Hevea brasiliensis (rubber tree). Lineage: Eukaryota; Viridiplantae; Streptophyta; Magnoliopsida; Malpighiales; Euphorbiaceae. The record is from RNAcentral.
UGAAACUUUGGAUUCCAUGAUACGAAAGAAAUCUCAGUUUGGGCACCAGAACCGACGCUCUUGAGAGGUGGAAACAUAACAGGCUCAGCAGGGUUCUCCAGAUCCCAUAUGCAAAUUUCCCCUCCAUCGGCCCCCGAUAAAAGCAGAUUGGGCGCGAGUGAAUUGAACUCCAGACCACGGACCGAUCCAGUAUGUCUCUCGAGACUCGCAACAACAACCCCUUCCUGA